This 663-nucleotide long non-coding RNA is filed under the name Gallus gallus (chicken). RNAcentral's name for it is "long non-coding RNA NONGGAT002814". The record is from RNAcentral. Lineage: Eukaryota; Metazoa; Chordata; Aves; Galliformes; Phasianidae.
UGCAAGCUGGAUAGAAAUCCCAGGCUUUGUGGGUCUCCCCCAGGCUCUGGAGGCUGCAGCCCAGCAAGGAAAGAGCGAGAGGCAUGUGUGGGGUGCAGCAUCACUCUGUCCCCUGACCGAGGACCCGAGACAUGGCAUUUGCCAUUUCACUUCUCUACAUCCUGAGUGUCACUCGAGUUUCAGGGAGGAAGCAGUCAUGUUCUCUGUGAGUGAUAGGUGUGGAGGUGACAGCUAUAGAUUCCAUUCUGGGGAGUGUGCAGACCUGUGUCAGCAAAAUGUCACCAAAUGAACAGCAGAUGCUCUGCAGCGCCUGGCAGUUACGUGGUGGAAAGCUGAACUUCCACUCGUGUUGGGUUUUACAGGACGGAUAUCAAUCUGCUCCCUUAUCAGCUCAGCAGCUUAUCACAGCUGCACAGAUAGGAAAGGACAAGCGGAGCCUGCACAUGCCAAGAAACAGCGACAUGGCAUGGAGCAGAAUAAUCAGGUGAACUUCAGCCCAGGAGAAAAUGAAGUCAAACUUUCUAUAGUUCUUUGAAAGAGUAUUGCCAGUGGCUGAAUUUUAUCCUGUGGAAAAGCCAAGCUGAAAGCUUCCCUUAUUUGUAUUGCUGUUGUGUCAGGGAUAAUCUAGAACUGGUUCCCAAUUGCUGCAUCGGUGCUGUGCCC